UACGUAGGUGGCAAGCGUUGUCCGGAUUUACUGGGCGUAAAGGGCGUGCAGGCGGUUUGUUAAGUGCAGGGUGAAAGCUCCCGGCUCAACUGGGAGAGGUCCUUGCAUACUGGCAAACUCGAGGGAGGCAGAGGAAAGUGGAAUUCCCGGUGUAGUGGUGAUAUGCGUAGAUAUCGGUAGGAACACCUGUGGCGAAGGCGGCUUUCUGGGCCUUACCUGACGCUGAGACGCGAAAGCGUGGGGAGCGAACAGG
This 253-nucleotide ribosomal RNA is filed under the name uncultured bacterium. RNAcentral describes it as "partial 16S ribosomal RNA". It matches the Rfam family "Bacterial small subunit ribosomal RNA", at positions 524 to 776 of the family's 1533-position model. The record is from RNAcentral.